UACGUAGGUGGCGAGCGUUGUCCGGAUUUACUGGGCGUAAAGGGUGCGUAGGCGGAUAUUUAAGUGGGAUGUGAAAACCCCGGGCUUAACCUGGGGACUGCAUUUCAAACUGGAUAUCUGGAGUGCAGGAGAGGAAAGCGGAAUUCCUAGUGUAGCGGUGAAAUGCGUAGAGAUUAGGAAGAACACCAGUGGCGAAGGCGGCUUUCUGGACUGUAACUGACGCUGAGGCACGAAAGCGUGGGUAGCAAACAGG
This 253-nucleotide ribosomal RNA is filed under the name uncultured Clostridium sp. Its description in RNAcentral is "partial 16S ribosomal RNA". It matches the Rfam family "Bacterial small subunit ribosomal RNA", at positions 524 to 776 of the family's 1533-position model. The record is from RNAcentral. Lineage: Bacteria; Bacillati; Bacillota; Clostridia; Eubacteriales; Clostridiaceae.